Molecule: ribosomal RNA, 459 nt
Filed under: uncultured bacterium
Lineage: Bacteria
Description: bacterial SSU rRNA
Rfam family: Bacterial small subunit ribosomal RNA
Source: RNAcentral
UAGGCAGCAGUGGGGGAAUAUUGCACAAUGGGCGCAAGCCUGAUGCAGCCAUGCCGCGUGUGUGAAGAAGGACCUUCGGGUUGUAAAGCACUUUCAGUCGUGAGGAAGGUAGUGUAGUUAAUAGCUGCAUUAUUUGACGUUAGCGACAGAAGAAGCACCGGCUAACUCCGUGCCAGCAGCCGCGGUAAUACGGAGGGUGCGAGCGUUAAUCGGAAUUACUGGGCGUAAAGCGCAUGCAGGUGGUUUGUUAAGUCAGAUGUGAAAGCCCGGGGCUCAACCUCGGAAUAGCAUUUGAAACUGGCAGACUAGAGUACUGUAGAGGGGGGUAGGAAUUUCAGGUGUAGCGGUGAAAUGCGUAGAGAUCUGAAGGAAUACCGGUGGCGAAGGCGGCCCCCUGGACAGAUACUGACACUCAGAUGCGAAAGCGUGGGGAGCAAACAGGAUUAGAUACCCUGGUAG